RNAcentral lists this ribosomal RNA (496 nucleotides) under uncultured bacterium. RNAcentral's name for it is "partial 16S ribosomal RNA". It matches the Rfam family "Bacterial small subunit ribosomal RNA", at positions 28 to 506 of the family's 1533-position model. The record is from RNAcentral.
GAUGAACGCUGGCGGCGUGCCUAAUACAUGCCAGUCGAGCGAACAGACGAGGAGCUUGCUCCUCUGACGUUAGCGGCGGACGGGUGAGUAACACGUGGAUAACCUACCUAUAAGACUGGGAUAACUUCGGGAAACCGGAGCUAAUACCGGAUAAUAUAUUGAACCGCAUGGUUCAAUAGUGAAAGACGGUUUUGCUGUCACUUAUAGAUGGAUCCGCGCCGCAUUAGCUAGUUGGUAAGGUAACGGCUUACCAAGGCAACGAUGCGUAGCCGACCUGAGAGGGUGAUCGGCCACACUGGAACUGAGACACGGUCCAGACUCCUACAGGAGGCAGCAGUAGGGAAUCUUCCGCAAUGGGCGAAAGCCUGACGGAGCAACGCCGCGUGAGUGAUGAAGGUCUUCGGAUCGUAAAACUCUGUUAUUAGGGAAGAACAAAUGUGUAAGUAACUAUGCACGUCUUGACGGUACCUAAUCAGAAAGCCACGGCUAACUACGU